Non-coding RNA from Mycena crocata, 107 nucleotides. Lineage: Eukaryota; Fungi; Basidiomycota; Agaricomycetes; Agaricales; Mycenaceae. The record is from the annotation of a GenBank genome assembly.
UCCGGAUUGGUGUAGGGGUUAACAUUGCCGCCUCUCAGCGAUUAUGUAAGCAUCUGCGUACGUAAUUGGGUUCGCGGCAGCCCGGGGUUCGAUUCCCCGAUCCGGAA